CCUACGGGAGGCAGCAGUGAGGAAUAUUGCUCAAUGGACGAGAGUCUGAACCAGCCAAGCAGCGUGAAGGAUGACUGCCCUAUGGGUUGUAAACUUCUUUUAUAUGGGAAUAAAACGUUCCACGUGUGGGAUUUUGUAUGUACCAUACGAAUAAGGAUCGGCUAACUCCGUGCCAGCAGCGGCGGUAAUACGGAGGAUCCGAGCGUUAUCCGGAUUUAUUGGGCUUAAAGGGAGCGUAGGUGGAUUAUUAAGUCAGUUGUGAAAGUUUGCGGCUGAACCGUACAAUUGCAGUUGAAACUGGUAGUCUUGAGUACAGUAGAGGUGGGUGGAAUUCGUGGUGUAGCGGUGAAAUGCUUAGAUA
This 361-nucleotide ribosomal RNA is filed under the name uncultured bacterium. RNAcentral describes it as "partial 16S ribosomal RNA". It matches the Rfam family "Bacterial small subunit ribosomal RNA", at positions 338 to 696 of the family's 1533-position model. The record is from RNAcentral.